AUUGAACGCUGGCGGCAUGCCUUACACAUGCAAGUCGAACGGCAGCACGGGAGCUUGCUCCUGGUGGCGAGUGGCGAACGGGUGAGUAAUACAUCGGAACGUACCCUGAAGUGGGGGAUAACGUAGCGAAAGUUACGCUAAUACCGCAUAUUCUGUGAGCAGGAAAGAGGGGGAUCGCAAGACCUCUUGCUUUAGGAGCGGCCGAUGUCGGAUUAGCUAGUUGGUGAGGUAAAGGCUCACCAAGGCGACGAUCCGUAGCGGGUCUGAGAGGAUGAUCCGCCACACUGGGACUGAGACACGGCCCAGACUCCUACGGGAGGCAGCAGUGGGGAAUUUUGGACAAUGGGCGCAAGCCUGAUCCAGCCAUGCCGCGUGAGUGAAGAA
This 384-nucleotide ribosomal RNA is filed under the name uncultured bacterium. RNAcentral describes it as "bacterial SSU rRNA". It matches the Rfam family "Bacterial small subunit ribosomal RNA", at positions 30 to 412 of the family's 1533-position model. The record is from RNAcentral.